AGGUGCAUCCUAAUCCCUGCUGGCUAGCCAGUGGCCUGGAGGGUUCGCUUGUGGACCAGAGCACCCUGGACGCCCUCCCAGGAAGACCAGGCUGCUGUGUCCUGGCCUGGGGCUGGGUUCCUGGACAUUC
Molecule: small nucleolar RNA, 130 nt
Organism: Sorex araneus (European shrew)
Lineage: Eukaryota; Metazoa; Chordata; Mammalia; Eulipotyphla; Soricidae
Source: Ensembl